UUAUAUUGUGUCAUACUUGUCACUCUGUUCCCAAUAAGUGGUAUCAGAGCUAUUGGUUGUGAUUUUAUUUGAGGUUUUCUGUUAUCGAUAGCAGUUAUGAAGUAUGAAAUUUCGCUUUUGGAUCAUAAUACAAGAUUUUCAUUGUGGUAAGUGAAGAUGCUAGCUGUAUUGGUGCAGAUGGACUUAGAUGAUGUGUUGUUGGGAUUGGACAACAGAGGAGAAAUGGAAGGAUCGAAAGGUACUUUCGAUAUUCAUCUUUAUUUAUCUAACAUUCUUUAGGACGUUUUGAAGGAGAAGACAACUGCUACAUUGUAAUUGAAGUUGGAGAAAUUAUGGAUGGCUCAAACUCAGAUGAGCAAAUUGCAUUUAAAGUAGAGGUUGUAUUCUCAUCGUAUGACAAAAUACGGAUCUUUAAAAGAUCAUUUGACUAUACUCAAGAAGAUUGUCACUAAUUUAGAGACAUUAGAAAUAAAGUAUGAUGAAUAAGAUUUGACCUUAAUCUUGUUGUGUUUGCUGCUCGAUUCGUUUAUUUUGUUUAGGGACACGUUUUGUAUAGUUGUGAUACUCUCAUCUUUGAAGACGUCUAUGAUACCCAGCUCUAAAAGGAGAAUAUCGAACUCUAGGUUGAAUUUGAGUCCAGAGUUGAAGGUCUUGUGGCUUAUGGUGAUCAACGAAUGGGUAAGUCAAGGUCGAGUUUCAAUAAUUAGGUUUGUUUUUAUUGCAAGAAUAAAUGAUACAUUAAGAGAGAUUACAAAAAAUUGCAUAAUAAAAGUACUUCGACUAUAAAUCACAAGAAGUAGUCAAACAC
RNAcentral lists this long non-coding RNA (808 nucleotides) under Olea europaea subsp. europaea. The record is from RNAcentral. Lineage: Eukaryota; Viridiplantae; Streptophyta; Magnoliopsida; Lamiales; Oleaceae.